RNAcentral lists this ribosomal RNA (918 nucleotides) under uncultured bacterium. RNAcentral's name for it is "bacterial SSU rRNA". It matches the Rfam family "Bacterial small subunit ribosomal RNA", at positions 8 to 916 of the family's 1533-position model. The record is from RNAcentral.
AGAGUUUGAUCCUGGCUCAGGAUGAACGCUAGCUACAGGCUUAACACAUGCAAGUCGAGGGGAAACGACAUCGAAAGCUUGCUUUUGAUGGGCGUCGACCGGCGCACGGGUGAGUAACGCGUAUCCAACCUGCCCACCACUUGGGGAUAACCUUGCGAAAGUAAGACUAAUACCCAAUGACGUCUCUAGAAGACAUCUGAAAGAGAUUAAAGAUUUAUCGGUGAUGGAUGGGGAUGCGUCUGAUUAGCUUGUUGGCGGGGUAACGGCCCACCAAGGCGACGAUCAGUAGGGGUUCUGAGAGGAAGGUCCCCCACAUUGGAACUGAGACACGGUCCAAACUCCUACGGGAGGCAGCAGUGAGGAAUAUUGGUCAAUGGACGAGAGUCUGAACCAGCCAAGUAGCGUGCAGGAUGACGGCCCUAUGGGUUGUAAACUGCUUUUAUAAGGGAAUAAAGUGAGUCUCGUGAGACUUUUUGCAUGUACCUUAUGAAUAAGGACCGGCUAAUUCCGUGCCAGCAGCCGCGGUAAUACGGAAGGUCCGGGCGUUAUCCGGAUUUAUUGGGUUUAAAGGGAGCGUAGGCCGGAGAUUAAGCGUGUUGUGAAAUGUAGACGCUCAACGUCUGCACUGCAGCGCGAACUGGUUUCCUUGAGUACGCACAAAGUGGGCGGAAUUCGUGGUGUAGCGGUGAAAUGCUUAGAUAUCACGAAGAACUCCGAUCGCGAAGGCAGGUAUCCGGGGUGCAACUGACGCUGAGGCUCGAAAGUGCGGGUAUCAAACAGGAUUAGAUACCCUGGUAGUCCGCACAGUAAACGAUGAAUACUCGCGAUUUGCGAUACACAGUAAGUCGCCAAGCGAAAGCGUUAAGUAUUCCACCUGGGGAGUACGCCGGCAACGGUGAAACUCAAAGGAAUUGACGG